GGAGUUAGCCGGUGCUUCUUCUGUGAGUGAUGUCCUUCCUGCCGGCUAUUAACCCGCAGGCCUUCUUCCUCACUGAAAGUGCUUUACAACCCGAAGGCCUUCUUCACACACGCGGCAUGGCUGGAUCAGGGUUGCCCCCAUUGUCCAAUAUUCCCCACUGCUGCCUCCCGUAGGAGUCUGGGCCGUGUCUCAGUCCCAGUGUGGCUGAUCAUCCUCUCAGACCAGCUACGGAUCGUCGCCUUGGUGAGCCGUUACCUAACCAACCAGCUAAUCCGACAUAGGCUCAUCCGAUAGCGCGAGGCCCGAAGGUCCCCCGCUUUCCCCCGUAGGGCGUAUGCGGUAUUAGCCUGGGUUUCCCCCAGGUUAUCCCCCGACUACCGGGCAGAUUCCUAUGCAUUACUCACCCGUCCGCCGCUCGCCACCAGGGAGCAAGCUCCCCGUGCUGCCGCUCGACUUGCAUGUGUUAGGCCUGCCGCCAGCGUUCAAUCUGAGCCAUGAUCAAACUCUGA
Molecule: ribosomal RNA, 509 nt
Filed under: uncultured bacterium
Lineage: Bacteria
Description: partial 16S ribosomal RNA
Source: RNAcentral